GUGAGUGGCUAAGCGAAAGAGAUAAGUAUCCCACCUGGUGAGUACGUUAGCAUGAAAGUAAAUCAAAGGAAUGGGGGGGGGCCCGCACAAGCGAUGGAGCAUGUGAUUUAGUUGGAUGAUGCGCGACGAACCUUACCAGUGACUAAAUGUGGAGCUCAUAGAGUAGAGAUAUUCUUUUAUUAAGCAUAUUUCCAAGGUGGCACAUGGUUGUUGUCAGCUCGUGCCGAGAGGUGUCAGGAUAAGUCAUAUAAAGAGCGCACCCCACCUUUUUUGUCCCCAGAGUGUCUUGUCAGGAAUUAUAACAAGACUGCCAGUGCAAAGGGUGAAGAAGGUGGGGAUGACGUCAAAUCAUCACCGCCCUUACGUGGUGGGCUACACACGUGCAACAAUGGUAGGUACAGAGGGCCGGUACCCCGGGAGGGGACAAGAAUCUUUAAAACCUAUCUCAGUUCGGAUCGGAGUCUGCAACUCGUCUCCGUGAAGCGGGAAUCGCUUGUAAUCGGAUAUCAGCCAUGAUCCGGUGAAUACGUUCCCGGGCCUUACACACACCGCCCGUCAAGCCAUGGAAGCUGAAAGUGCCUGAAGUCCGUCACCGCAAGGAGCGGCCUAGGGUAAAGUUGGUAACUAGGGCUAAGUCGUAACAAGGUACC
Molecule: ribosomal RNA, 650 nt
Filed under: uncultured bacterium
Lineage: Bacteria
Description: bacterial SSU rRNA
Rfam family: Bacterial small subunit ribosomal RNA
Source: RNAcentral